CUCAUAGGAUGGAGCAAUCGCAUGGAAAUUGGUUGAUGCCACCCCCACAAACGUCUCAUUUUGAUAAUCAUGCUCAUGCGAGAGAAUUGGUGCCAAAACCUGCAUUGGUACAAGAACAUGAGACAGGGAAACCUGCUGAAGGAAAUUGUAGGCUCUUUGGCAUUCCCUUGUUUCGUAAUCCAGUUACAACCGAGCCAGCAGCCUCACAUAGAAACAUGGUCAGUGAGCCUCU
Molecule: long non-coding RNA, 232 nt
Filed under: Jatropha curcas
Lineage: Eukaryota; Viridiplantae; Streptophyta; Magnoliopsida; Malpighiales; Euphorbiaceae
Description: long non-coding RNA (JCUR_LNC003248)
Source: RNAcentral